Molecule: ribosomal RNA, 150 nt
Filed under: uncultured Vibrio sp.
Lineage: Bacteria; Pseudomonadati; Pseudomonadota; Gammaproteobacteria; Vibrionales; Vibrionaceae
Description: partial 16S ribosomal RNA
Rfam family: Bacterial small subunit ribosomal RNA
Source: RNAcentral
CCUGAUCCAGCCAUGCCGCGUGUGUGAAGAAGGCCUUCGGGUUGUAAAGUACUUUCAGUAGGGAGGAAGGUGGUUAAGUUAAUACCUUAAUCAUUUGACGUUACCUACAGAGGAAGCACCGGCUAACUCCGUGCCAGCAGCCGCGGUAAU